Molecule: long non-coding RNA, 293 nt
Organism: Haplochromis burtoni (Burton's mouthbrooder)
Lineage: Eukaryota; Metazoa; Chordata; Actinopteri; Cichliformes; Cichlidae
Exons: 3
Source: RefSeq, a predicted model, not a curated record
UUGCAGAUCAGACGAUGACUGUUCAGAGCCAAAUCUCCAAAGAGCAAAAGAAAAGAACAAAACCAUCAAGGUUCUCUGGAGGUCACCAGGUUCCUAACCACCUUUAGUACCACAAUCUUGCUCUCAUGAUUCCUCAGUUUGGGAAUCGUUUGUCUACAGGAAGAGUGCUUGUUGCUCCAAAUGUGCUCAAUAUGUCGUUAGACUGAUAGAAGCGGUGUGGGCAGCGCUCGACACACAGCUUGGUGCCUUUCAGCUCCAGCAGAGGAGGGGAACAUGCCCUGCAAGACUCGGGC